UCCUACGGGAGGCAGCAGUGGGGAAUAUUGCACAAUGGGCGAAAGCCUGAUGCAGCAACGCCGCGUGAGUGAUGAAGGCCUUCGGGUCGUAAAACCCUGUCCUCAAGGAAGAUAAUGACGGUACUUGAGGAGGAAGCCCCGGCUAACUACGUGCCAGCAGCCGCGGUAAUACGUAGGGGGCUAGCGUUAUCCGGAUUUACUGGGCGUAAAGGGUGCGUAGGCGGUCUUUCAAGUCAGGAGUGA
This 243-nucleotide ribosomal RNA is filed under the name Clostridioides difficile. RNAcentral's name for it is "partial 16S ribosomal RNA". It matches the Rfam family "Bacterial small subunit ribosomal RNA", at positions 337 to 597 of the family's 1533-position model. The record is from RNAcentral. Lineage: Bacteria; Bacillati; Bacillota; Clostridia; Peptostreptococcales; Peptostreptococcaceae.